Ictalurus punctatus (channel catfish) is the source of this 3356-nucleotide long non-coding RNA. NCBI's taxonomy places the organism in Eukaryota, Metazoa, Chordata, Actinopteri, Siluriformes, Ictaluridae. The record is from Ensembl.
CGAAAACGCAGCUUUUAUUUAAUAAAAAGAUGCACGAGGUUCCCUUUUCGUCCGUGAUGUUAAAGUUAAAGUCGGAUUUAAGGUUUAGACCAGAGUCGAUCGGCGGCGUUCAUAAUCAUUUCUGUGGAAUGUCCUCACGAGGAUAGUGCAAGUAGUACAAGGGCGUGGGUGUGUGCGUGUGCGUGUGCGUGUAAGUGUGCGUGCAAGUGUGUGUCAAUGAACAGAGGAAAAAAAACAGAUAGAGAAACAAUUAUUAAUUAUUUUGAGCAAGUCAAGGAGCACUUGAGUGACAGAUUAUUUCCGUGUGUGUGUGUGUGUGAAUGAAUAUCAGGAAUGAAUAAAUAGUAAAAUGCGACACAGCACUAUCAUCUCUCAGUGAUGUUGCCUUAAUGUCCUUGGUGCUUGAAUUCAUGAGAAGAAACUCCUUUAAAAAAUAAAAUCCUUUCCACACUAACCUGUUUGAAUCCUUUUCUUUUCACUGCCUCCGCUCGCUCCUGGCGUAGGUGUGUUUGUGUCACAGUGUUUGGCUACGUUCACAUUCCUGUGCUCCGGGGCUCGGCUGACAGCUCAUCAUCCGUUCACGAUCGGGUCAAGGUCCUGUUUUUACUCCUAUUGAAGGUUUCUCAGCUGCCGACGGACGAUGACGACGACGGCAGCGAUGUGCACGCGCGCAGCACGACGCCCUGAAUCUCUCAGCAUCACAGGGAUGAAGCAUUUCUACAGCGCUGUCGAAGGACUCGGAGCUUUGACUGAAGAAACCAGACCCGAUACCGUACCUUCGGACGAGGCCGAUUUUACGAGGCACAAAGCCCCGCCCCUAAACACCCAUCCGAAACAGGAGCGUAACAGAGGUGGUACGCAGUCUGCGAAGUGUGUAACAUCCAGCUGAACUCGGCCGCACAGGCGCAGAUACACUACAACGGGAAAACCCACCAGAAGAGACUGAAACACAUGAACAGCGGAAACAAAGGUAGGACGCACACGCGUUUGGGUUUGAGCGGCGAGCUAUACACAGCAUCGUAGGUUUUAAUCGCGGUGUCGGUGCAGAACUCAAAGCAUUUCCUACAUGAGGAGUGUUCAUUCGCUGCACAGCGUGAAGCACAGGUUUCACAUUUCACCUCAGUUUAGGAGGAGGAGACCGCCGCCUCCUGUUCGUUCCUGAUCAACACCUAGAAAACUAGUCUGUCCAGCUCAUGUCUGAGAGAAUGAAAUACAGAGCACGAUGGAUCGGUUCAUAAAAUCGACUCUUCCAUCAUGCAUCCCGAACCACAUGGUAUACUUGUUAGUUCAUGUCGCUAGUCAUGUUGUGUAUGAUUCCUCAGCGUCAAUCACAUAAAGUUACAAUGAGUGAAUUUAGAAGGGGCGGGGCAUGGUGGUUUAGUGGGUAGCAUGUUUGCUUCACACCUCCAGGGUUGUGGGUUCGAACCCCACCUCGACCUCGUGCGCGCGGAGCUCGCAUGUUCUCGCCGUGCUUCCGGGGUUUCCUCCGGGUGCUCCGGUUUCCCCCUCCGGUCCGAAGACACGCCAUUUCCAGAUGAUUUCCUGCGACGGAUUGGCAUCCCGUCCAGGGUGUCAGCCACCUGACAGUUUAUUAUUAUUUUAUUUAAAUUCUUGAUUCCUAAUUUAAGAAUUAUUGUAAGAUUUGAACCAUUUAUCACGCGUCAGUAAAGGUGGCUCUCAUUUUUUUUCUGCAUGCAAAUAUACCGUGUAUCUGGGUCGUCUGCGUUUCUGCGGUAUUCGUGUUCUUUUGCUGCUGUUCCACUGAGUCACUCAAAGCCGCUCGGUGCUGUCGAGGAACUAGUGGAGGUAGAGGUGGAGAGAUAUGCCCGUUUGUAUUUGACCUCCUACGCUAGUGCAAAAGCACUAGCACCAAAAUAUGUCUUCGUAGUUAGCGCGCGCCAUUCCUAAUAUUGACAUUAAAACAAAACAGGAAACUAUAUGACUGGAUUUGUAAAUCAUCAUGGGGUCGUGACCCCAGGAUUGGGAAGAAUCUCAUUUCAUUCAAAAUUUUUUAGAUGUCACGGUUGAAAUUGACACCCCCCCCGCAUAUUCCAUAUACAAUCAAUAUCGCAUGCUUCAGCCAUUUGUGUUGGGUGAAAUCUCACUAGCGGCCUAGCGGUCAUGCUAACACUAAAUACAAACGGAAGAAAUACACAUACUGUAAAGCCCGAAAACAUUAGAGACAGCAUUUUAAGUGCAUACAAGAUGCAGAUGCAUACAGGGUAUAUUCCUGCCUGUCCACAUGCAUGCAAAUGCCUGGGUUAGUUUAUAUUCUAACAUACACACACACACACACACAGCAGUCAGACCCACUUCAGGUGCAAGCUAUCAUACGAAUGGACCAUAAUUACAUAGCAACGGAACAUGUUCACCACGGAAACGCUUGGCAUGGAGACGGAGACGCCCCCCUCAGAAACCAGACUACUGACUGGCUGUUAAAGAGGAUGUGUUUCUCUCUGUCUGUCCCUCUCUCUCUGUGUGUGUGUGUGCGUGUGUGUGUGUGUGUGUGUCUCUCUCUCUCUCAUAUCCACCCAAGGACACAAAAGAUCAUUGAUUAGCCCUUUUGGCUGCUGUAAGACAUCAUGAUUGGAGUUAAAUUAAAGUAGGCAGCCCUCCCCGUGAGUAAACAGCAGUGCGGCAAGCCUUAAUACUAUACCACACACACACACACACACACACACACACACACACACAAUGUCUUUGCUGUUUGCUUCUCCUUGUCUCUCUCCUUUGUGAGGCAUCCAAUUUUGUAGCACUUAUUCAACUCUAGCUCAGACCUUUGCAGAGUAACACACACACACACACACACACACACACACACACACACACACACACACACACACACAGCUGCCCUAAAGAAUAAUUUCUGCCUGAAGCUAGGCAUGCACUGGGUGAUGGGUAAAACCGUAACAGAUUUUGAAACCGGACGUCUCUCUCACACAGAAUCUCGCCUCUUUUGGCUUAGAGACACAGAGAAAAAGUUUUGCUGUGACUCUAAAAUCUUAAACACUGAAGGAGUCAGCAUCGCUUAAAAUAAAGUGACGCUGGCCAGGAGACUCCUGCAAUUCAUCUCAGCCUUCCAGUCUGUUAUGUUUUAGGGUUUUUCGUUCUAGCGGUGGUUUGCUGUUGCUUGUUUUAAUAAUCAAUUGAAUCAACUUUUUUUUUUUUUUUUAUAAGUGUUUUUGGGAAGUGUUCUCGAGUGACACUGAAUGGCUUAAGACUUCUUACAUUCUUUUAGUGACACCAUUUUAAUAAACGUUAUACCAUUCUACUCUUAUAUCUUACAUCGGGGUUAGGCGAUAUAUCGAUAUCAUAUAUAUAUAUAUAUAUAUAAUAUUGUCAUAAAUGAUUCUGCG